This 87-nucleotide transfer RNA is filed under the name Morganella morganii. Its description in RNAcentral is "tRNA-Leu". It matches the Rfam family "tRNA". Rfam says of the family: Transfer RNA (tRNA) molecules are approximately 80 nucleotides in length. The record is from RNAcentral. RNAcentral also lists the same sequence under 6 other names. Lineage: Bacteria; Pseudomonadati; Pseudomonadota; Gammaproteobacteria; Enterobacterales; Morganellaceae.
GCGAGGGUGGCGGAAUUGGUAGACGCGCUAGCUUCAGGUGUUAGUGUUCUUACGGACGUGGGGGUUCAAGUCCCCCUCUUCGCACCA